This 500-nucleotide ribosomal RNA is filed under the name uncultured bacterium. RNAcentral describes it as "SSU rRNA". It matches the Rfam family "Bacterial small subunit ribosomal RNA", at positions 26 to 521 of the family's 1533-position model. The record is from RNAcentral.
AGAUUGAACGCUGGCGGCGUGCUUAACACAUGCAAGUCGAGCGGUAACGCGGGAGCAAUCCUGGCGACGAGCGGCGAACGGGUGAGUAAUGCUUGGGAAUCUGCCCAUUAGUGGGGAACAACCAGCCGAAAGGUUGGCUAAUACCGCAUACGCCCUACGGGGGGAAAGCGGGGGAUCGUAAGACCUCGCGCUAAUGGAUGAGCCCAAGUCGGAUUAGCUUGUUGGUAGGGUAACGGCCUACCAAGGCGACAAUCCGUAGCUGGUCUGAGAGGACGACCAGCCACACUGGGACUGAGACACGGCCCAGACUCCUACGGGAGGCAGCAGUGGGGGAAUAUUGGACAAUGGGGGCAACCCUGAUCCAGCGACGCCGCGUGUGUGAAGAAGGCCUGCGGGUUGUAAAGCACUUUUAGUGGGGAUGAAAAGCUCAGGGUUAACACCUCUGGGUCUUGACCUAACCCACAGAAAAGCACCGGCUAACUCUGCGCAGCAGCCGCGGU